Molecule: ribosomal RNA, 485 nt
Filed under: uncultured bacterium
Lineage: Bacteria
Description: bacterial SSU rRNA
Rfam family: Bacterial small subunit ribosomal RNA
Source: RNAcentral
GACUACGGCUGGCGGCGUGCCUAAUACAUGCAAGUCGAACGGGAUUCUUUGAUCAGUUUGCUGAGAGAAGGAUCUAGUGGCGGACGGGUGAGUAACGCGUGGGAAUCUGCCUCUUACUGGGGGAUAACAGUGGGAAACUACUGCUAAUACCGCAUAAGAUCUUCGGAUGAAAGGUGCAACUGCACCGGUAAGAGAUGAGCCCGCGUCCCAUUAGCUAGUUGGUGAGGUAAAGGCUCACCAAGGCGACGAUGGGUAGCCGGCCUGAGAGGGUGAACGGCCACACUGGGACUGAGACACGGCCCAGACUCCUACGGGAGGCAGCAGUAGGGAAUCUUCCGCAAUGGGCGCAAGCCUGACGGAGCGACGCCGCGUGAGUGAUGAAGGCCUUCGGGUCGUAAAGCUCUGUUCUUGAGGACGAAUAAGCCAGGGAGUGGAAAGCCCUGGUGAUGACUGUACUCAAGGAGAAAGCUCCGGCUAACUACGUG